UUCACCUACCAAUGAAAUCUAACAUUAAAUAGAUUACUAUUUUUGCACCAGAAUAAGUAGUACAAGAAAAGUUGCGUCUCUGCUACCAACAAAAUGAGAACAAAACAAUUAUUAUAGAAAGAAUAAUGAAAAAUGAACUCACAGUCAGUAAUAUGGUCUUCCAUCUUAGUCUAUUUUCACUAACUUAGCUGAUUUCUUCGAAGAAAAUUAUUUUGAUAAUGCAAGAUAUAAAACUAAAUCGUCUGACAUUACCUCCAUCAAAGUGGCGCAUAAAUUUACCAAGAAAACUUGUUGCUGUCCCAAGAUAUGAGCAUCUUAGAUUACUGAGACAUAUAAACUAUUAUGGGCUAUCCAUUAGAUACGAUGUGAUUC
Molecule: long non-coding RNA, 372 nt
Filed under: Musa acuminata (dwarf banana)
Lineage: Eukaryota; Viridiplantae; Streptophyta; Magnoliopsida; Zingiberales; Musaceae
Description: long non-coding RNA (MACU_LNC002820)
Source: RNAcentral